UUUUAUUUUUAUUUGUUAAGUAAGCUACAUUAAGGAAAAAAGCAUUACUUUCACUUCUUUCCCAUCUUAAUUACCUGAUCCUUCAGGCAUUAGUAAGACCAAGUAGUCUACAACAGCACUAGUUUCAUUCUUUUCAGAAGGUUCUGAAGCCUUCUUUGCAUAGCAUGUAAGAUGAGGAUAAGAGAAAGAAUUUACUGUUUGCCUCUGCCAACUGUAACACUUAAAAACCUCACAGCUUCCUAUUGGCCCCAGACACAGUAAUUAACCAAUAUUAUGGACACAGAAGACUAAGCGUUUUUAAUUUUUUAAAAUGCAAGUUUCAUAAUUACAAACUUUAAAAAUCUUUAAACAACAAAAUGUUUCUACCUCUUGGUCAUUCAGCACAUCAGUUUGUGUAAAGAAUUCAACCAGCGCAUAUAGGAAGCCAAGAUCUAAUCUGAGAUCCAUCUCUUGAAUCAGGACCUUAAAAUACCUACACAUGAAACAAAACCCAAUUAUUAAGGUCUUUUGCAAAAAUGCAUAGCAUACAAAACUUAAUCUAGGGUAUUCAGGACACAUAUAUUGAGUUCAGGUUUUUUGUUUUAUUAGGUUUGUUCUGUUUUGGGUUUGUUUGUUUGUUUGUUCUGUUUUUUGUUUUGUUUUGUUGUUGGGUUUUUUUGAGGGAUUCACCAUUGCUAGUGAAAAGCAGGCUCCCCGUAGUGGUGUAAGACAAAUGCGUUUCCUGUAAUCAGAAUAAUUUUAAUCAAGUAGCAUCAUUUAAAAGUGUAUAUAGCACUGUUUUUUAUAAAUUAAAAGAAGACUAGAAAUCUUCAUUAAAAAGAUGCUUUAAAAUCCUUGCUUCACUCUGCAAUUAUGUAUAUAAUAAAGCAGGCUGAGCUUUUAUUUCUAAGUGCUCUGAUCUUUCCGAGAAUGAGUUGGUGUAAAAUUAUCUAGCAUUAUGUUUUCCCUUAUAACAAUUUUAAUUUUAAAGCUUCAUUAAACAUGAUCAAUAGCAAAAAAAGAUGGAGCAUGUCAAAAUACUUACUUAAUAUGAGAUAUUUCUGAAUGUCCUGCAGUUCUCAUAACAAUACUGACAUCAGUAAAUGGUUUUGGUGCUAUGAAGUUGUAAAACAAGAAGAAAUCAGCACGAAUUUUUAUAUGAUAGAAUACCUUUAUAUUUUUUAAUAUGAAAAUGUCAUACAUGUUCAGGAUUUUCUC
RNAcentral lists this long non-coding RNA (1197 nucleotides) under Strigops habroptila (Kakapo). RNAcentral describes it as "lncRNA (ENSSHBG00005010203.1)". Lineage: Eukaryota; Metazoa; Chordata; Aves; Psittaciformes; Psittacidae. The record is from RNAcentral.